UCUAGUGGCUCAGUUGGCAAAGCAUCUGCCUGCAAUGCAGGAGACCCAGGUUCAAUCCCUGAGUCUGGAA
RNAcentral lists this transfer RNA (70 nucleotides) under Bos taurus (domestic cattle). It matches the Rfam family "tRNA". From Rfam's summary of the family: Transfer RNA (tRNA) molecules are approximately 80 nucleotides in length. Their secondary structure includes four short double-helical elements and three loops (D, anti-codon, and T loops). The record is from Rfam by way of RNAcentral. RNAcentral also lists the same sequence under 4 other names. Lineage: Eukaryota; Metazoa; Chordata; Mammalia; Artiodactyla; Bovidae.